This 500-nucleotide ribosomal RNA is filed under the name uncultured bacterium. RNAcentral describes it as "partial 16S ribosomal RNA". It matches the Rfam family "Bacterial small subunit ribosomal RNA", at positions 30 to 523 of the family's 1533-position model. The record is from RNAcentral.
AUUGAACGCUGGCGGCAUGCCUUACACAUGCAAGUCGAACGGCAGCACGGGAGCAAUCCUGGUGGCGAGUGGCGAACGGGUGAGUAAAGUAUCGGAACGUGCCCAGUCGUGGGGGAUAACGUAGCGAAAGUUACGCUAAUACCGCAUACGAUCUAUGGAUGAAAGCGGGGGAUCGCAAGGCCUCGCGCGAUUGGAGCGGCCGAUAUCAGAUUAGGUAGUUGGUGGGGUAAAGGCUCACCAAGCCGACGAUCUGUAGCUGGUCUGAGAGGACGACCAGCCACACUGGGACUGAGGCACGGCCCAGACUCCUACGGGAGGCAGCAGUGGGGAAUUUUGGACAAUGGGCGAAAGCCUGAUCCAGCCAUGCCGCGUGCAGGAUGAAGGCCUUCGGGUUGUAAACUGCUUUUGUACGGAACGAAAAGGUUUGGCCUAAUAAGCUGAGCUCAUGACGGUACCGUAAGAAUAAGCACCGGCUAACUCUGUGCCAGCCGCCGCCGUAA